UACGAAGGGGGCUAGCGUUGUUCGGAAUCACUGGGCGUAAAGGGCGCGUAGGCGGACUGAACAGUCAGGCGUGAAAGCCCUGGGCUUAACCUCGGGACUGCGUCUGAGACGUGUGAUCUAGAGUGAGGAAGAGGGUCGUGGAAUUUCCAGUGUAGAGGUGAAAUUCGUAGAUAUUGGAAAGAACACCGGUGGCGAAGGCGGCGACCUGGUCCUUGACUGACGAUGAGGCGCGAAAGCGUGGGGAGCAAACAGG
Molecule: ribosomal RNA, 253 nt
Filed under: uncultured bacterium
Lineage: Bacteria
Description: partial 16S ribosomal RNA
Rfam family: Bacterial small subunit ribosomal RNA
Source: RNAcentral